Molecule: RNA transcript, 692 nt
Organism: Ipomoea nil (Japanese morning glory)
Lineage: Eukaryota; Viridiplantae; Streptophyta; Magnoliopsida; Solanales; Convolvulaceae
Exons: 2
Source: RefSeq, a predicted model, not a curated record
GACUGUACGCAGGUGGCUCCCCUUUGGAAUGAUAUAACAGUUGGUUCACUGCCAAGUGGAAAUGAUAAUUUUCGUCACUGGUUGUUUACUCAUUUGUCACAGGAUACUCUAGAGGUGGUAACAAGAUGGGUGGCGAUCUGUUGGAGUAUAUGGAAGGAAAGAAAUGAAGUGGUUUGGAACAACCAAUCAUGGCUUAUCUCUAGGGUAAGGUAUGCUGCCAUUAGAAUGUUUAAUGAAUGGAGUGAUAACAUGCAUGGUGAAAGUGUUACUGUUGAACCCAAUUCCCAUAAUGUACUUACAGUCCAAGAUACAGUGAAGCGAAGAGUGGUCCGCUUCGAUGCCUAAACGAUCCCCAUCUGGCUGAGGCGCUUGCUGUGAAGGAAGCCCUUUCUUGGUCAAGAGAGAAAGGUCUCACAAGAAUUCAGGUUUUUACUGAUUGUCAAGUUGUUUGCGGGUUUAUUAAUGGCGCUUUCCAAGAUCUUUCAUACGCAGGAUGUGUAAUCCGUGACUGUCGUGAUCUUCGUCGACACUUUGAAGUGGUGUCUUUUAGUUACAUUUCUCGGUCAGUGAAUAAGUUAGCCCACGCUCUUGCGAGGGAUGCUCGUUCUCAUACUGGCGUUUCUAGUUGGUCUAUUUCUAUUCCCAGUUGUAUUGCACACUUAAUUUAAUACAAGCUUUUCCUUUAGUUUUCA